AUUGAACGCUGGCGGCAUGCUUUACACAUGCAAGUCGAACGGCAGCGCGUGCUUCGGCCUGGCGGCGAGUGUCGAACGGGUGAGUAAUGCAUCGGAACGUUCCCAGUAGUGUGGGAUAGCCCGGCGAAAGCCGGAUUAAUACCUCAUACGACCUGAGGGUGAAAGCGGGGGACCGAAAGGCCUCGCGCUAUUGGAGCGUCCGAUGUCGGUUUAGCUAGUUGGUGGGGUAAAGGCUUACCAAGGCGACGAUCCGUAGCUGGUCUGAGAGGACGACCAGCCAAACGGGGACUGAGAAAGGGCCAAAACUCCAACGGAAGGAAGAAGGGGGGAAUUUUGGAAAAGGGGGGCAACCCUGAGCAAGACAGGCCGGGGGCGGGAAGAAGGCCUUCGGGUUGAAAACCGCGUUUGUUCGGGAAGAAAGCCUCUGGGCUAAUAGCCAGAGGGGAUGACGGUACCGGAAGAAUAAGCACCGGCUAACUACGUG
This 484-nucleotide ribosomal RNA is filed under the name uncultured bacterium. RNAcentral's name for it is "partial 16S ribosomal RNA". It matches the Rfam family "Bacterial small subunit ribosomal RNA", at positions 29 to 507 of the family's 1533-position model. The record is from RNAcentral.